GGCGCGGUGGCCGAGUGGUCUAAGGCGGCAGUCUGCAAAACUGUGUAUCGUCGGUUCAAAUCCGACCCGCGCCU
Molecule: transfer RNA, 74 nt
Filed under: Elusimicrobiota bacterium
Lineage: Bacteria; Pseudomonadati; Elusimicrobiota
Description: Elusimicrobia bacterium (microbial mat metagenome) tRNA-Cys
Rfam family: tRNA
About the family: Transfer RNA (tRNA) molecules are approximately 80 nucleotides in length. Their secondary structure includes four short double-helical elements and three loops (D, anti-codon, and T loops). Further hydrogen bonds mediate the characteristic L-shaped molecular structure. tRNAs have two regions of fundamental functional importance: the anti-codon, which is responsible for specific mRNA codon recognition, and the 3' end, to which the tRNAs corresponding amino acid is attached (by aminoacyl-tRNA synthetases). tRNAs cope with the degeneracy of the genetic code in two manners: having more than one tRNA (with a specific anti-codon) for a particular amino acid; and 'wobble' base-pairing, i.e. permitting non-standard base-pairing at the 3rd anti-codon position.
Source: RNAcentral